ACUCCUACGGGAGGCAGCAGUGGGGAAUAUUGCACAAUGGGCGCAAGCCUGAUGCAGCCAUGCCGCGUGUAUGAAGAAGGCCUUCGGGUUGUAAAGUACUUUCAGUCAGUGAGGAAGGGUGGGUUGUUAAAUAGCGAUACUUCAUUUGACGUUAGCUGCAGAAGAAGCACCGGCUAACUCCGUGCCAGCAGCCGCGGUAAUACGGAGGGUGCGAGCGUUAUCGG
RNAcentral lists this ribosomal RNA (224 nucleotides) under uncultured bacterium. Its description in RNAcentral is "partial 16S ribosomal RNA". It matches the Rfam family "Bacterial small subunit ribosomal RNA", at positions 335 to 547 of the family's 1533-position model. The record is from RNAcentral.